UAGAUGCCGUGUCUUGGCCUCUC
This 23-nucleotide non-coding RNA is filed under the name Rattus norvegicus (Norway rat). Lineage: Eukaryota; Metazoa; Chordata; Mammalia; Rodentia; Muridae. The record is from RNAcentral.